This 906-nucleotide long non-coding RNA is filed under the name Anser brachyrhynchus (Pink-footed goose). RNAcentral describes it as "lncRNA (ENSABRG00000008185.1)". The record is from RNAcentral. Lineage: Eukaryota; Metazoa; Chordata; Aves; Anseriformes; Anatidae.
CAUCACUCUGCUCCCUUCACCCCCUGAAAUCCAUGUGGAAUUAUAUAGGUCUCCUUCUGGAGCUUUCAGAGCCUGGGCUCUUGUGCAUAAAUCAGUCCAGAAAUUGGAGCCUUUUUAUUAGACUAUAUCUGGAUUUUUUCAGUUAAAGGAAGCAGAUUCCGAAAACGAGUCCAGCAUUUGUGACAUAUUAGCAGAAAAUUAGCUGGAAAGUACGAAAGCAUGUAGUUAUAAAUAAAGGCAAUGAAGAAAGAAGAUUCUAUUAAGCACCAAAAUGAUCAUGAGCAGUAAUACUUACUUGCUUUAGGCUCUUUUAACCACAUUUUUCCAUUCCAGUUUCCAUCCAUUAAUUUAAAAUAAGUGUGCAUUUUCUCCACUACACUACAGUAGGGUUUUUUGUUAUUGUUGUUGUUUUCUUUUGUUUUUAGCUAUAAUUGUUGCCAUGGUUAUCACAAGGACGUUUUAAAUGUAAAGAAUGCACAAAAUUGAUUUUUUUUUGGGUUCAGCCUGAAACGCUUAAAACUCUCAACACCUGUGGGUGUCAGCCCUAGUUAAUGAACGCUCUCUGCUCAGCCACGUUUCAUGUUGGUUUUUUCCACAGAGAGUCUGCAGGGUGAAAUGUGCACUUGGCACACAAGGACGAGACGCAGGCAGUCAGUGCACAGAGGAAGCACCGCUGCGUGCAGGACUGGCAGGACGUGCCAGGGCAGGACUUUUUUCUUACUCAACCUCACAAUAGAGACUGUACAAUUGAAAAUAAUAUUCAGUCCAUGGGAUAGAAAGGAAGAAAAGACCAGACUUUCCCUGUUUAUGUACAGCUUGCUGGAUGUAGUAUCAAAUGGAUUCCAGCUUUUAUACCACACUGUUUGUGCAGCCCACAAAAGAAGCAGAAGGUGUCAAAAUGUUUGA